UGGCGGACGGGUGAGUAACGCGUGGGUAACCUGCCUCACACUGGGGGAUAACAGUUAGAAAUAGCUGCUAAUACCGCAUAAGCGCACAGUUCCGCAUGGAACAGUGUGAAAAACUCCGGUGGUGUGAGAUGGACCCGCGUCUGAUUAGCCAGUUGGCGGGGUAACGGCCCACCAAAGCGACGAUCAGUAGCCGGCCUGAGAGGGUGAACGGCCACAUUGGGACUGAGACACGGCCCAAACUCCUACGGGAGGCAGCAUG
This 259-nucleotide ribosomal RNA is filed under the name uncultured bacterium. RNAcentral's name for it is "partial 16S ribosomal RNA". It matches the Rfam family "Bacterial small subunit ribosomal RNA", at positions 96 to 353 of the family's 1533-position model. The record is from RNAcentral.